This 29-nucleotide non-coding RNA is filed under the name Bombyx mori (domestic silkworm). Lineage: Eukaryota; Metazoa; Arthropoda; Insecta; Lepidoptera; Bombycidae. The record is from RNAcentral.
UCACUGUCAAAUUUGUCCUCAGGAACAAC